GAUGAACGCUGGCGGCGUGCCUAAUACAUGCAAGUCGAGCGAACGGACGAGAAGCUUGCUUCUCUGAUGUUAGCGGCGGACGGGUGAGUAACACGUGGAUAACCUACCUAUAAGACUGGGAUAACUUCGGGAAACCGGAGCUAAUACCGGAUAAUAUUUUGAACCGCAUGGUUCAAAAGUGAAAGACGGUCUUGCUGUCACUUAUAGAUGGAUCCGCGCUGCAUUAGCUAGUUGGUAAGGUAACGGCUUACCAAGGCAACGAUGCAUAGCCGACCUGAGAGGGUGAUCGGCCACACUGGAACUGAGACACGGUCCAGACUCCUACGGGAGGCAGCAGUAGGGAAUCUUCCGCAAUGGGCGAAAGCCUGACGGAGCAACGCCGCGUGAGUGAUGAAGGUCUUCGGAUCGUAAAACUCUGUUAUUAGGGAGGAACAUAUGUGUAAGUAACUGUGCACAUCUUGACGGUACCUAAUCAGAAAGCCACGGCUAACUACGUG
This 497-nucleotide ribosomal RNA is filed under the name uncultured bacterium. RNAcentral describes it as "partial 16S ribosomal RNA". It matches the Rfam family "Bacterial small subunit ribosomal RNA", at positions 28 to 507 of the family's 1533-position model. The record is from RNAcentral.